AUCUCCAACAUAAGAAGCUAAGAAGGCUGCAGCUUCCACCGGGCCUCUUGGGCUGCGUACUCUUGACACUCCUGCUCUGAGAACUAAGCAGGCAUAUUUCAUAUCAAAAUAGUAAAGAACUUCCUUUCCAAAGGCAGGACUUGCUUCUGUGAGGUACUGAGCCACCCGUCCCUGGAGGAAAGCAAGAAUAGAGCAGAUCAGAGCCCAGGAAGACAUCUUGGAUGAUGGGGUACAUCUUGCCAUCCAGAGGCAAUGCUGGAGCGGGCAGUUGUCUGCGGGGAGGCCCUGGCUCACUCUGGGCCAAAUAACAGGACUGAUUGCAGCCAGCGAUGAAACAUCCUGUUUCUCCCAACCAGAAAC
RNAcentral lists this long non-coding RNA (360 nucleotides) under Pan troglodytes (chimpanzee). Its description in RNAcentral is "long non-coding RNA NONPTRT004163". The record is from RNAcentral. Lineage: Eukaryota; Metazoa; Chordata; Mammalia; Primates; Hominidae.